Transfer RNA from Camelus ferus (Wild Bactrian camel), 72 nucleotides. It matches the Rfam family "tRNA". From Rfam's summary of the family: Transfer RNA (tRNA) molecules are approximately 80 nucleotides in length. NCBI's taxonomy places the organism in Eukaryota, Metazoa, Chordata, Mammalia, Artiodactyla, Camelidae. The record is from Rfam.
GGGGGUACAGCUCAGUGGUAGAGCAUGUGCUUGGCAUGUGUGAGAUCCUGGGUUCAGUCCCCAGUACUUCCA